Molecule: transfer-messenger RNA, 417 nt
Filed under: Candidatus Peribacteraceae
Lineage: Bacteria; Candidatus Peregrinibacteriota; Candidatus Peribacteria; Candidatus Peribacterales
Also listed under: 1 other name
Description: 1-14-0-10-55-24 sp002772745 Standard tmRNA
Rfam family: transfer-messenger RNA
About the family: Bacterial tmRNA, also known as 10Sa RNA or SsrA, is named for its dual tRNA and mRNA-like properties. Its role is to liberate the mRNA from a stalled ribosome. To accomplish this part of the tmRNA is used as a reading frame that ends in a translation stop signal.
Source: RNAcentral
GGGGAUGACAGGUUUCGACAGCGUGACUCUCCGGUUGUAUUCGUCUCUGUUCGGGAUGGCAACGGUUCCCGUACCCACUGUUGCACCCAAUAUCUGCCAACUACAAGCAGAAGUUUGCGAGUAUGAAGGCGCGCUUUGCACGUCCUUCGUUUGCCUUCGCUCCGGCGAUGGCGUUCGCAGCCUAAGCUCCCCAUCUAGCGGGAGCACGUCGCUCCGCCGAUUCUCGCUACGCGGAUGCGGCGUCAUUUGCGAGGCGGUAUCUCUCCUGACGCAGGGAACAUACCGUAUUUUUGCGUCAUCCCUCCCAUUCCCUUCUUCGUCCUCUUCCUUAGGGUUUGGGAGAAUAGAAGAGGUCAUAACAGUAUGGACAGUCUUCCGACACGUUGGACCCGGGUUCAAUUCCCGGCAUCUCCACCA